AGUGAACGCUGGCGGUAGGCCUAACACAUGCAAGUCGAACGGCAGCACAGUAAGAGCUUGCUCUUACGGGUGGCGAGUGGCGGACGAGUGAGGAAUACAUCGGAAUCUACUUUUUCGUGGGGGAUAACGUAGGGAAACUUACGCUAAUACCGCAUACGACCUACGGGUGAAAGCAGGGGAUCUUCGGACCUUGCGCGAUUGAAUGAGCCGAUGUCGGAUUAGCUAGUUGGCGGGGUAAAGGCCCACCAAGGCGACGAUCCGUAGCUGGUCUGAGAGGAUGAUCAGCCACACUGGAACUGAGACACGGUCCAGACUCCUACGGGAGGCAGCAGUGGGGAAUAUUGGACAAUGGGCGCAAGCCUGAUCCAGCCAUACCGCGUGGGUGAAGAAGGCCUUCGGGUUGUAAAACCCUUUUGUUGGGAAAGAAAAGCAGCAGGUUAAUACCCCGCUGUUCUGACGGUACCCAAAGAAUAAGCACCGGCUAACUUCGUG
RNAcentral lists this ribosomal RNA (492 nucleotides) under uncultured bacterium. Its description in RNAcentral is "partial 16S ribosomal RNA". It matches the Rfam family "Bacterial small subunit ribosomal RNA", at positions 29 to 507 of the family's 1533-position model. The record is from RNAcentral.